AGGGCGCAAGGGGAAUGCCUUGGCACUGAGAGCCGACGAAGGACGCGACAAGCUGCGAUAAGCUACGGGGAGCCGCAAAUGGGCUUUGAUCCGUGGAUUUCCGAAUGGGGAAACCCGAUGGAGCAAUACUCCAUCAACCAUGACUGAAUACAUAGGUCAUGGUGGGGAACCGCCUGAACUGAAACAUCUAAGUAGGGCGAGGAAGAGAAAUCAACCGAGAUUCCGCUAGUAGUGGCGAGCGAACGCGGAAGAGGCCAAACCGGAGGUAGCAAUAUUUCCGGGGUUAGGACUGCAAUAUGUAACUUUAAUCUUUAACUGAAUGCUUUGGGAAGAGCAGCGAUACAGGGUGAUAGCCCCGUAAGUGAAAAGGAUUGAGUGCUAGCAGUAUCCAGAGUACCAGCGGACACGUGAAACCCGCUGGGAAGAUGGGGGGACCAUCCUCCAAGCCUAAAUACUACUCAGUGACCGAUAGUGGAGCAGUACCGUGAGGGAAAGGUGAAAAGUACCCCGGGAGGGGAGUGAAAGAGAACCUGAAACCUUGUGCCUACAAGCACCGAGAGCACGUUAAAGUGUGAUCGGGUACUUUUUGUAGAACGGUCCGGCGAGUUAAUAUUUGCAGCGAGGUUAAGUAACUGGAGUUACGGAGCCGCAGCGAGAGCGAGUCUGAAUAGGGCGUAUGAAGUUGCAGGUAUUAGACCCGAAACCGGGUGACCUAUCCAUGAGCAGGCUGAAGCGGUGGUAAGACACCGUGGAGGGCCGCACCCACGUCUGUUGAAAAAGCCGGGGAUGACUUGUGGAUAGCGGAGAAAUUCCAAUCGAACUCGGAGAUAGCUGGUUCUCCCCGAAAUAGCUUUAGGGCUAGCGUUAUUUUAGAUUACCGGAGGUAAAGCACUGAAUGGUCUAGGGGCCGCGAGGUUACCAAAGCCUAUCAAACUCUGAAUGCCGGAUAAUUGAUGAAUAGCAGUCAGACUGUGUGAGAUAAGUCUCAUAGUCAAAAGGGAAACAGCCCAGAUCUACAGCUAAGGUCCCAAAUGAACACUAAGUGGAAAAUGAUGUGAAACUGCGAAGACAACCAGGAUGUUGGCUUAGAAGCAGCCACUCAUUCAAAGAGUGCGUAAUAGCUCACUGGUCGAGUGGUUUUGCGCAGAAAAUGUAACGGGGCUAAGUGUUCAACCGAAGCUUAGGCAUUGCAGUAAUGCAUUGGGUAGGGGAGCGUCGUAUGCGGGGCGAAGUCAGAGCGGAAGCACUGGUGGACUGCAUACGAGUGAGAAUGCCGGAAUAAGUAGCGAGAAUUAUGUGAGAAUCAUAAUGGCCGAAAAUCUAAGGUUUCUUGGGGAAGGUUCGUCCGCCCAAGGUUAGUCGGGAGCUAAGCUCAGGCCGAAAGGCGUAGGCGAUGCACAUACGGUAGAAAUUCCGUAACCACCGAACAUUUAAGCUAGAGGGACGCUUUCUUUAAGGUUAUCCCGGGCGAUGGUUGCCCCGGGCGUAAGGGACCGAAAUUUAGUAGGGAAGUAACUGGCGAGAGAGACGAGAAAAGCUCUAGUGUAUACUAAGGUGCCCGUACCGCAAACCGACACAGGUAGAUGGGAUGAGUAUUCUAAGGCCAACGGGAGAAGGGUUGUUAAGGAACUCGGCAAAUUGGCCCCGUAACUUCGGGAUAAGGGGCGCCUGCGAGAGCAGGCCGCAGUGAAAAGGCCCAAGCGACUGUUUAGCAAAAACACAGCUCUCUGCUAAAUCGAAAGAUGACGUAUAGGGGGUGACGCCUGCCCGGUGCUGGAAGGUUAAGGGGAGUGCUUAGCGCAAGCGAAGGUGCGAACUUAAGCCCCAGUAAACGGCGGCCGUAACUAUAACGGUCCUAAGGUAGCGAAAUUCCUUGUCAGGUAAGUUCUGACCCGCACGAAUGGCGUAACGAUUUGGGCACUGUCUCAACAGCCCGCCCGGCGAAAUUGUAGUACCGGUGAAGAUGCCGGUUUCCCGCAACUAGACGGAAAGACCCCAUGGAGCUUCACUGUAGCUUGAUAUUGGACUUCGGUAUUCCAUGUACAGGAUAGGUGGGAGACUUGGAAGUAAGCGCGCCAGCGUUUAUGGAGU
RNAcentral lists this ribosomal RNA (2091 nucleotides) under human gut metagenome. RNAcentral's name for it is "bacterial LSU rRNA". It matches the Rfam family "Bacterial large subunit ribosomal RNA", at positions 14 to 2186 of the family's 2925-position model. The record is from RNAcentral.